GUCUAUGGCCCUACCACCCUGAAUGUGCCCAAUCUCAUCUCAUCUCAGAAGCUAAGCAGGGUUAGGCCUGGUUAGUACUUGAAUGGGAUAAAUUAUUAUGUAUCCUGCAAUCUUAAACU
Molecule: ribosomal RNA, 119 nt
Filed under: Prolemur simus (greater bamboo lemur)
Lineage: Eukaryota; Metazoa; Chordata; Mammalia; Primates; Lemuridae
Source: RNAcentral